GCGCAGCGGGAGCAGAGCGGCCUCCAUGGGGGAGCUGCAUUGGGAGCAGCAGUCCCUGUCCCGGCGAGUGCACAGAGCCCUGCUGGGGCCGGGGAGCAGGGGACGGACAGUCCCGCCGGAGGGAGCCCGAACACCCCAGGAGCUGCUGAUGAGGGCGAGAGGAGCCACAGUCCCUGUGAGGAGCCCGCAGUCCCAGACACUGCUGUUGUGCCCCCGGUACAGCCCCAACUUGGGAAAGAAAGCUGCCUCUAAGCUUUUUCUGCAGCUCCUUCCUGCAACACUGACACAAGUUGCUGUAGAUUUGUGCUGAUUGUAAUGUUCACUCCUUUAUUUCGCUCCACGAGUACCACAGUUGUCUGUCACAUUUUAUCAGAGCAGCUUCUCCGUGUGCAGCAGACACCCAGAGCAAGCCUGAACCAGUCAGCCCAGGGAGCAUGACAAGAGGACAAUCACAAGGACAUUCCACUCCUUGUUUUUCCCCAAACAUAGGGAAAUCCUGGACCAGCUGAGCCUCCUCCCCCAGCAUUGCUGCUGCAGGCUGAGGUCGGCUGUGCUGUGGAUGCUCACAGGACAGGAGGUGUCUGCACCCAGUGCCCGCAGUGGUGGCUGUGUCUGUGUCCUGACUGCUCUUCCCUGUGUGUCAUUUCCUAUUCUGAACUGCAGGUUCUUCACUGUGAGCGGGGGCUGUGUCCCUACCGCAGCCAUGGGCACUCGCUGAUGCCCUGAUUCCCAGAGAGCAGCUAGGGGUGCUCGGCAGAGUCACGGGAUGGGGUGUUUGCUUGGGGGGUGCUGUGAGGGGGGGGGGUCUCUGUCCUUGGGGUCCAGGCUUGCUGCUGGCCAUGCUUCAGGGUGUUCUUGGCACUUGGCAAUGUUAAAGAUCAUUGGACCAAAGCAGCUGUAAUGGGUUUGUGAAUCAAUAAAGCCUUUUGCUUCUG
Molecule: long non-coding RNA, 935 nt
Organism: Melopsittacus undulatus (budgerigar)
Lineage: Eukaryota; Metazoa; Chordata; Aves; Psittaciformes; Psittaculidae
Exons: 2
Source: RefSeq, a predicted model, not a curated record